UGUUUCCAAUUGAGACUCUUCUCUGCCUGGGGCCACGCCCACAGUGAAAGCUCAUUGGUCCAGAUGCUUCAACUUCCUACACAAACAAACUUCUGCUGUAUUGCUAAAUUGAAAGAAGCAGCUUGUUGUCAUGGUGUAUUCUAAAGUCUGGAUUCAGGACAGAGGGACAGUAUUUUAGUUGCUGAUAUGUGAUGCUGACGCUGUGCUGCAUGAAGAAGUUUUCAUUUAUAAAUGUUGGACUUGUGCCCAGACUGCUAUGGUAGAAUCUGGAAGAAAACACAAUAAGGAGAAGAACGUCAGACCAAUUUUGCAGGAACAUAUGUGGGGGGGAAAAGGCUUUAACAAAAGACAUUUUUCGAACAGUGAAAGAACUAGACCAUGGACAAUAGUUAUGAAUCUUUAAAAAUCUAUCCUGCGUCAACCACUAUUAUCCAUGCAGAGUCAAAAGAAUGCUUUAUCUGUCGAGAAGGAGACGAGAUGGGUUGUGACGCUCUGCUGCACUUCUGUGACUGCAAAAACCUGAUUGCUCACCAGAAGUGUGUGUUAACCUGGAUACAAAAGAGUUCUGAUAAUCAAGAUAGAGCAAGAUGCAAAGUAUGUACAGCUGAGUACCAGCUACAGAAAGGAUCAGUGUGGAGAAUCCUGUUUUGUCACUGGCAGAAUUGGCUCUUCUUCUGCUUGGUCCUGGCAGUAAUGACUAUCAUUCCCCUUGCAGUCUAUCGAAUGAUGGUAGCUUUUAAGGACCCUCCACCCAGUGCUGUAUUCCAUGCAGCAGCUGUGUGCUUUGGAGUUCUCGCAGAGACUCUUCUGAUAAAGAUCUCACCCUCUGCUACAGCUAUUGAAACAUUUAAAUCUCACUCUCUACAACUCCCUGGAGAAGAAACUGAAAGAGCGAAUGCUGUCAAUUAUCCCACCAACAGAUACGUAUUGUAUUACUGCAGCAGCAAAUACAACGAGGCCAAGAUGUCUUCAUUUUCCGUCAGAGCGAGAACUGUAGAACAAUGUGAUCGAGGCGUUGGUCUUCUGUGGCCAGCCGGUCAGAACCCAUCAACAGCUGUGAUGAGCAGAGCAGAGAUGGGGAAACAGGAGGCAGUCAAAGCCAAAGAAGGUUUCGGCCUGAAGCUGUGUGUAUGACUGAAGCAGAGCAAGGCCAGGACCCAAGGAAACCCCAGCAGCAAGGGAAAAAACAGAUUGACUCUCAGUGACUCAUUUAGCUCCUGGAUUGGACAAAUCUCUCCCCUGCUGGCAGUUUGGCUGAGCAUCAAUGAGACAGAUACCAGGAUGAAUAGCUUAAAAUAAUUAGGGGGCCAAUCUGCAAAACUGCUCUCAUCCAAUUCUUUACUGUGUGAUGAAAGACACAAAACAAAUUACAUUUAGAUAUUAAAUAUUAAGUCACUGGAUUUACCUCCAUUUGGUCCAAAGCAGGAAACUGGAUAAAAUUCAAUUUUAUAUCAUUGUGUUGAUGGCCUGUUUUUCAUCAAAUGAGUGAGUGUUUGUUGGCAGGUCAGACUCUUUGACACAUGGGGAAAAUAGGUGCUUAAUUUAAAUGAGAAUUAAUGCAAUCAUAAUUAACACAAAUGUGAACAGAAUUAAACACAGGCAAGAGUUCAGUUUAAUGCUUAGCAGUUUAAACUAUAUGUUUUAGGAAACAUCCUGCUUCAGCUGAAGACAAUGGCAGUGUUGCCACUGAAUUCAAUGGAAACCGGAGUAGGCCUUCUAGGUAGACAGGCAGGAUUCCCUGUACUUUAUAUUUAAUGCACAAAAACAGAAGCAACAAGCUCAUUUAGUAUCAGUAAAGGUCAGUUAAAAUUAUAGAGACAUCCUUUGGAGCAAAUCUUCUGCCUUGUAUUUGCAUAUUUAUGAACUAGAGAUUAUGACAGGCCAUUCCAUUUAUUAGAGCAGCGCUGCUAUAGUUAAUAGUCUGUCAGCGUUUCCAUUAUAAACCCCGUUUUUCAGUGUUUUAAUUUCUCAGCCAUUUGAAAUCACAUCAGGAAGCAACGUAGCCCUUGUGUUGUCAGGCCAGGUGCAUUUUUUUUUAAAUUAAUAAAAAUAUAUUUAAAUGAGCUCA
RNAcentral lists this long non-coding RNA (2068 nucleotides) under Chrysemys picta bellii (western painted turtle). Its description in RNAcentral is "lncRNA (ENSCPBG00000015664.1)". The record is from RNAcentral. Lineage: Eukaryota; Metazoa; Chordata; Testudines; Emydidae.